CCUACGGGGGGCAGCAGUCGAGAAUCAUUCACAAUGGGGGAAACCCUGAUGGUGCGACGCCGCGUGGGGGAAUGAAGGUCUUCGGAUUGUAAACCCCUGUCAUGUGGGAGCAAAUUAAAAAGAUAGUACCACAAGAGGAAGAGACGGCUAACUCUGUGCCAGCAGCCGCGGUAAUACAGAGGUCUCAAGCGUUGUUCGGAAUCACUGGGCGUAAAGCGUGCGUAGGCUGUUUCGUAAGUCGUGUGUGAAAGGCCCGGGCUCAACCCGCGGACGGCACAUGAUACUGCGAGACUAGAGUAAUGGAGGGGGAACCGGAAUUCUCGGUGUAGCAGUGAAAUGCGUAGAUAUCGAGAGGAACACUCGUGGCGAAGGCGGGUUCCUGGACAUUAACUGACGCUGAGGCACGAAGGCCAGGGGAGCGAAAGGGAUUAGAUACCCCAGUAGUC
Molecule: ribosomal RNA, 446 nt
Filed under: uncultured bacterium
Lineage: Bacteria
Description: partial 16S ribosomal RNA
Rfam family: Bacterial small subunit ribosomal RNA
Source: RNAcentral